UGGGUUUAGGGAAAGGUUGGCGAAGGCGACUCUCUGGUCUGUAACUGACGCUGAGGAGCGAAAGCGUGGGGAGCGAACAGGCAUUAGAUACCCUGGUAGUCCACGCCGUAAACGAUGAGUGCUAAGUGUUAGGGGGUUUCCGCCCCUUAGUGCUGCAGCUAACGCAUUAAGCACUCCGCCUGGGGAGUACGGUCGCAAGACUGAAACUCAAAGGAAUUGACGGGGGCCCGCACAAGCGGUGGAGCAUGUGGUUUAAUUCGAAGCAACGCGAAGAACCUUACCAGGUCUUGACAUCCUCUGACAAUCCUAGAGAUAGGACGUCCCCUUCGGGGGCAGAGUGACAGGUGGUGCAUGGUUGUCGUCAGCUCGUGUCGUGAGAUGUUGGGUUAAGUCCCGCAACGAGCGCAACCCUUGAUCUUAGUUGCCAGCAUUCAGUUGGGCACUCUAAGGUGACUGCCGGUGACAAACCGGAGGAAGGUGGGGAUGACGUCAAAUCAUCAUGCCCCUUAUGACCUGGGCUACACACGUGCUACAAUGGACAGAACAAGGGCAGCGAAACCGCGAGGUUAAGCCAAUCCCACAAAUCUGUUCUCAUUUCGGAUCGCAGUCUGCAACUCGACUGCGUGAAAGCUGGAAUCGCUA
RNAcentral lists this ribosomal RNA (642 nucleotides) under uncultured Bacillus sp. RNAcentral's name for it is "bacterial SSU rRNA". It matches the Rfam family "Bacterial small subunit ribosomal RNA", at positions 696 to 1337 of the family's 1533-position model. Lineage: Bacteria; Bacillati; Bacillota; Bacilli; Caryophanales; Bacillaceae. The record is from RNAcentral.